GAUGAACGCUGGCGGCGUGCCUAAUACAUGCAAGUCGAGCGAAUGGAUUAAGAGCUUGCUCUUAUGAAGUUAGCGGCGGACGGGUGAGUAACACGUGGGUAACCUGCCCAUAAGACUGGGAUAACUCCGGGAAACCGGGGCUAAUACCGGAUACCAUUUUGAACCGCAUGGUUCGAAACUGAAAGGCGGCUACGGCUGUAACUUAUGGAUGGACCCGCGUCGCAUUAGCGAGUUGGUGAGGUAACGGCUCACCAAGGCAACGAUGCGUAGCCGGCCUGAGAGGGUGAUCGGCCACACUGGGACUGAGACACGGCCCAGACUCCUACGGGAGGCAGCAGUAGGGAAUCUUCCGCAAUGGACGAAAGUCUGACGGAGCAACGCCGCGUGAGUGAUGAAGGCUUUCGGGUCGUAAAACUCUGUUGUUAGGGAAGAACAAGUGCUAGUUGAAUAAGCUGGCACCUUGACGUUACCUAACCAGAAAGCCACGGCUAACUACGUGCCAGCCGCCGCGGUAA
RNAcentral lists this ribosomal RNA (515 nucleotides) under uncultured bacterium. RNAcentral's name for it is "partial 16S ribosomal RNA". It matches the Rfam family "Bacterial small subunit ribosomal RNA", at positions 28 to 523 of the family's 1533-position model. The record is from RNAcentral.